Molecule: ribosomal RNA, 253 nt
Filed under: uncultured bacterium
Lineage: Bacteria
Description: partial 16S ribosomal RNA
Rfam family: Bacterial small subunit ribosomal RNA
Source: RNAcentral
UACGGGGGGGGCAAGCGUUGUUCGGAAUUACUGGGCGUAAAGGGCUCGUAGGCGGCCAACUAAGUCAGACGUGAAAUCCCUCGGCUUAACCGGGGAACUGCCUCUGAUACUGGAUGGCUUGAGUUCGGGAGAGGGAUGCGGAAUUCCAGGUGUAGCGGUGAAAUGCGUAGAUAUCUGGAGGAACACCGGUGGCGAAGGCGGCAUCCUGGACCGACACUGACGCUGAGGAGCGAAAGCCAGGGGAGCAAACGGG